ACAGACCCGCCCCGGCAGCCCGGCCCACCCCAAAUCAUGUGUGUGUGCUGGGGGGUGGGGGCUAGUGGGGCAGAGGAUAAGCAGGCUGGAAGAGCCGACUCCUACGGCUGCGAUCCAAGAGGUGCCUGCAACAGUUGCCCCCCGACUUCUGUCGCCCCCAUGGAGGCAAACAAGUCUGGAACAGGGAAUGGGGGUCUGGGAGAGAAGAUGAAAAGACUGAGGAUCAGAGAGGUGAGCAGUAGCUUUCCCAAAGGCCCAGAGCCAAGAAGCGUUGAAGCUUAAAAGCACGCCGCGGCAGGGAAGAUCAAGCAAGCCCUGCGCCUAUCUGCAGCUUGAUCUCUCUGUACUGAGCCAUGGAGCUCCUUCUUGGAGGCGUGAAAUGCUCCCCAUCCUUCAGGAGACAACAGCAACAGCCAGCCACUCCUUGUCCAGUCAGCAAUGCUGGAAUACCUCUGCAGCUCACAGUCCAACGCCCACAGCCUUCGAGUCAGUUUCUUGAUAUUCGGCAAUGCACUGGACUCCUGAUCCCAUCAGCUCCUGGCUGAAGGUGGGCCAACCCUUCCCCAUUUCCUUCAAUUCAAACAUUUCCUCAUGUCCCUCAGUGCCAAGCCCUGUGCUGGGAGCUGAGGACCCAGAGGUGAGCUAGAUCUAAAAUCUGACCUCAAGGAGCUAACAGUCUGAGAGGAAGACUGGAGUGGAUAAAAAUACCUUGGUAAUUUAUCACUUAAUAAAUAUCCAAUAAAUGCUAUUAUGUGCCAA
This 759-nucleotide long non-coding RNA is filed under the name Homo sapiens (human). RNAcentral describes it as "non-protein coding lnc-ZNF574-1:1". Lineage: Eukaryota; Metazoa; Chordata; Mammalia; Primates; Hominidae. The record is from RNAcentral.